CCCUUAGAUGUUCUGGGCUGCACGCGCACUACACUGACAUACUCAGCAAGUUUCCUUGCCUGAAAGGGUUGGGUAAUCUUGUUAGUGUAUGUCGUGAUGGGGAUAGAAUAUUGUAAUUAUUGCUCUUUAACGAGGAAUUCCUAGUAAGCGCAAGUCAUCAGCUUGCGUUGAUUACGUCCCUGCCCUUUGUACACACCGCCCGUCGCUCCUACCGAUUGGGUGAUCCGGUGAAUGAUUCGGACUCUGGCUAUGCUAGCUACUAGCUACGUCAGGGAAAGUUUUGUGAACCUUAUCACUUGGAGGAAGGAGAAGUCGUAACA
RNAcentral lists this ribosomal RNA (320 nucleotides) under uncultured eukaryote. RNAcentral describes it as "partial 18S ribosomal RNA". It matches the Rfam family "Eukaryotic small subunit ribosomal RNA", at positions 1470 to 1796 of the family's 1831-position model. The record is from RNAcentral.